Peromyscus maniculatus bairdii (prairie deer mouse) is the source of this 102-nucleotide non-coding RNA. Lineage: Eukaryota; Metazoa; Chordata; Mammalia; Rodentia; Cricetidae. The record is from RefSeq and is a predicted model, not a curated record.
UCCAGUUUGCCUUCAGAGAGUGGAUAGCCCAUCAUCUUUGGAAUGAUCCAGCCAAACUCCUGCUUGUUGAUGCCCACCAUGUAGGGCACAGUGUUGAAAUUC